This 322-nucleotide unclassified non-coding RNA is filed under the name Hevea brasiliensis (rubber tree). Lineage: Eukaryota; Viridiplantae; Streptophyta; Magnoliopsida; Malpighiales; Euphorbiaceae. The record is from RNAcentral.
GAGUCUCUGAAAGCACAAGCCUCUUUUGUGCAGCCGGGGCUCUCGUCGGCGGGGUAGAAGUAGACCACUGUCGGCUUGCCUUUGAACUUGGAGAGAGACACAUUCUUGCCAUCUUGGUCUUUCAGUGUGAAGGAAGGAGGUACAUCCCCUUUUGACACCUUGGCAUAAAUGGAAGUCAUGGAAUGAGAGGGAGGUGGUGGUGGUGUUUGGUGGUGGGGGGAUGGAAUGGAGAGCUUGAGGCCAUGGAAUUGGGAAUGGGAUGAUUUGGGGAGGAGAGGGAGAUUGCAUGGUGAGGACUUAUUAGGGUUUGGGGGUUGGAGGA